This 396-nucleotide ribosomal RNA is filed under the name uncultured bacterium. Its description in RNAcentral is "partial 16S ribosomal RNA". It matches the Rfam family "Bacterial small subunit ribosomal RNA", at positions 338 to 732 of the family's 1533-position model. The record is from RNAcentral.
CCUACGGGUGGCAGCAGUGAGGAAUAUUGGUCAAUGGGCGAGAGUCUGAACCAGCCAAGUCGCGUGAAGGAUGACUGUCCUAUGGGUUGUAAACCUCUUUUAUCUGGGAGUAAAAGGCUCCACGCGUGGCGUUCUGUGUGUACCCGAUGAAUAAGCAUCGGCUAACUCCGUGCCAGCAGCCGCGGUAAUACGGAGGAUGCGAGCGUUAUCCGGAUUUAUUGGGUUUAAAGGGUGCGCAGGCGGAAGAUAAAGUCAGCGGUAAAAUUGGGGGGCUCAACCUCUUCGUGCCGUUGAAACUGGGAGUCUUGAGUACAUGAGAGGUGGGCGGAAUGCGUGGUGUAGCGGUGAAAUGCAUAGAUAUCACGAAGAACUCCGAUUGCGAAGGCAGCAUACCGG